Molecule: ribosomal RNA, 223 nt
Filed under: uncultured bacterium
Lineage: Bacteria
Description: partial 16S ribosomal RNA
Rfam family: Bacterial small subunit ribosomal RNA
Source: RNAcentral
GCCACCAAACCGACGAUGGGUAGCCGACCUCAGAGGGUGAUCGGCCACAUUGGAACUGAGACACGGUCCAAACUCCUACGGGAGGCAGCAGUGGGGAAUAUUGCACAAUGGGGGAAACCCUGAUGCAGCGACGCCGCGUGAGCGAUGAAGUAUUUCGGUAUGUAAAGCUCUAUCAGCAGGGAAGAAACUGACGGUACCUGACUAAGAAGCACCGGCUAAAUAC